RNAcentral lists this transfer-messenger RNA (398 nucleotides) under Arenibacter sp. It matches the Rfam family "transfer-messenger RNA". From Rfam's summary of the family: Bacterial tmRNA, also known as 10Sa RNA or SsrA, is named for its dual tRNA and mRNA-like properties. Its role is to liberate the mRNA from a stalled ribosome. To accomplish this part of the tmRNA is used as a reading frame that ends in a translation stop signal. The record is from RNAcentral. Lineage: Bacteria; Pseudomonadati; Bacteroidota; Flavobacteriia; Flavobacteriales; Flavobacteriaceae.
GGGGCCGACUGGUUUUGACAGCGAGAUCAAUUGGAAUGUAAGCAUGCCGAGCGCUGGGCUACAGCUCGUUAAUCUCAUUUUCCACACUUUUUAAUUGGCGAAAAUAAUUACGCUCUUGCCGCUUAAUCUGAAUCAUAGUAGGAUUAGCCUCGUCCCUACAAGGUAGGGAAGCGAGAUGUUUCUGGGAAGCCCUUGUUGACGGCGUCCCUUUCAGAAGCACCAUCAAAGUCAACACAAGGGUAGUGAAGCUUCGGCACUAUCACCAAAACUUAAGAAGCUAAGUGUGUAUUAGGCUGUUUCUAGUCAGGUGCACAUCGAAAACUAAUUAGGAACUAAGCAUGUAGAAGGCAUUGUAAUUGCUUGUUUGGACGAGGGUUCGAAUCCCUCCGGCUCCACGA